RNAcentral lists this long non-coding RNA (2054 nucleotides) under Sus scrofa (pig). Its description in RNAcentral is "lncRNA (ENSSSCG00055000574.1)". The record is from RNAcentral. Lineage: Eukaryota; Metazoa; Chordata; Mammalia; Artiodactyla; Suidae.
AGGCACAAGCGGCUCUCUGUAAAUAAAUAAGUGAACUAAUUGGUUGGUUAAUUCUAAACAGAUCAUAAAUGCUCCACUUGUUUCUCAAUCACACUGAUCACUCCAGGAAGAUUAUUAAGCAAUUGUUUUGCAUACUGCAAUAAGACAGACGGAGAGAGGAGAGAGAAGGACAGACAGAGAGACUGCUCAAAUAAAAACAUGGGGAAAGACGGUGUGUAAUGUGAGUAGAUCCUAAUGAAGAAAGUCUCCCAACCACCAUGUCUGAUUCUGAUCAAACCUGAGGUUCUCUACACACCUGCACGACUAGAGGAUGAGAAGAUCCAAGUAAGAUCUUACUCUACCCUGGCACCAUUCUAGGAAUUGAAGAUAUGAUGGUAGACAAGACACAUGGGGUCCCUGCCUUUAUGGAGCCGAGAAGCCAGUGCAGAUGACAGACAGUAAUGGGUGAACAAAGAGGAACAUAUGAAUUCACACGAGAUGGAGAAAAUUGUGCCCAGUGGAGCUGUGGAAAGGUUGGAUAGAGGGUGGGGAUUACCAGACAAUAAGAGGAUGGUGGCCCUCUUAGAGGAGAUAAAAGAUCAGCAGCAAUAUGAACAAGGAGAAGGAGAGGAAACACUGGAGGAUUUCUAGGGAGAAAAAUCAGCAAGUGCUGAAAUCGAUGUGGCCAUGAGUUUGGUGUCUUAGAAACUGCACGGCUAGAAAGGAAUGAGCAAGGACAUGAUGAAGAUGAACUAGAGGGUUCUUUGGGGGCCAGAUCAUGAAGUACCGGGAAAGACAUGGCAAAGACCUUUGAUUUUAUUUUAACUGUUAUGGGAAGCUAGUGAAUCAUUUAAAUGGGGGAGUAACAUUCUGAUUUGUCAGUUAAAAUAUCACACUGGCUACUGUUAGGAGAAUAGAUUGGUGAGGGGCAUAAGUAGAAACAGUCAGGCAAAUACAAGAUGUGUUGAGCAAUGUUCAUACCUACCCAAAUCACGUCUCCUUUCUUACACAGUAAAAAAUUCAGUGCUUCUUCUGGUCAGUCCUGUGACUGCCUAGAAAAGGGUAUUUAAUCUUCUGUCCUUCAAGAAGGAGUCGCUGGUGGGGUGUAAUCAGAAGCUGGAGAGGGAGUCAGAGUCCCGUUGGCCCUUGCUCUUUCCUCCUGUCUGUGGUCAGGGGUGUGAACAUGAUGGCCAACCAGUGAUAUCGGCGUCUUGGGCCAUGGGGUUACUCUAGGAAUGCAGAGCAAGAAGGUAGAAGGAUGGGAUUCUGUGUGGAAGAAUACAGGCAAACCUCACUUCAUUGGGCUUUGCUUUAUCUUGCUUCAAACAUAUUGCACUUUAUACAAAUUGAAGUUUUGCAACAACCCUGCAUUGGGCAAGACUAUUGGGUGACAUUUAUUCAACAGCAUUUGCUCACUUCAUGUCUCUAUGUCACAUUUUGAUAAUUUAAAAAUAUUCCAAGCUUUUUCAUUAUUAUUAUAUUUGUUUUGGUGAUUUGUGAUCAGCCAUCUUUGAUGUUACUGUUGUAAUACUUUUGGUAUUUUUAGCAACAAAGUAUUUUUAACUAAGAUAUAUACAUUGCUUCUUAGACAUAAUGCUAUUGCACACUUAAGAGACUACACUGUAGUAUCAACAUAACUUUUUUAUGCACUGGGAAACCAGAACUUUCAUGUGACUCGCUUUAUUGCAUAUUCGCUUUAUUGUAAUGGUCUGGAAAAGAACCCACACUGCCUUGGAUGAAAACCUGUAAAUUUCUGUUUUGUUUAAGCCACUGACAUUUGGGGGUUUAGGUUAGGCAAAUCUAACUCCAACUAAUUCGGUAGACAACCAUGGCUUAAUGAGAUCCCAAAAAUGUUUGACUUGGGUAUAGUGUAGAAGGUGGGAUUUGUUGGGUAGCAAAGUAUAUUUUGAAAGUGGAAUCAUGAGUAUUUACUGAUCUGAAUUUUCUGGAUGAAUGUGGAGGAUGAGAGAAAGGGAGGAACCAAGGAUGGCUUCCAGGAUUUUUGCCUUGGUAACUGGAAAGUGGAUAAUAAAACAAGCUCCUGGUGUAGGAUUACAAGGGGGCAGAGUUCUAAU